CAAAGUUUCGUAUGUACUACCCAUGCGAGUCAUUGUAGUAAUACAAGGCAGACGGCUCAGUAACGCGUCCCCUUCCAAGCCUAUGGACGGGAAUAACCUCGGGAAACUGACCUUUAUGCCCGAUAGAACAUUAUGCCUGGAAUGGUUUAUGUUCCAAAUGAUUUAUCGCCGUAGGAUGGGACUGCCCCCUAUCAGUUUGUUGGUGAGGUAAUGGCCCACCAAGACUAUUACAGGUACGGGCUCUGAGAGGAGUGGGCCGGAGAUGGGUACUGAGACACGGACCCAGGCCCUAUGGGGCGCAGCAGGCGAGAAAACUUUGCAAUGUGCGAAAGCCCGAAGAGGUUAAUCCGAUGUGUUUCUGCUAAAGAAAUCUUUUCGCGGUCCCAGAAAUCCCGAGGAAUAAGGGGUGGUUUUUGUUCUGGUGUCAGGCUCCGAGUUAAAACCUGCAGGCUCAGCGGUCAGGAUGAUUAUUGGGACUAAAGCGUCCCUAGCCGGGUGUGUUAGUUUUGGAUUAAAUCUGUACGCUCCACGAUCAGGGUGGCGGGGAUACUGGAAAGCUGGGUCGUGGGACAGGGUGACGGAACUCUCAAGGAAGGGGUAAAAUCUUUUGAUCUAUUGUUGACCAUCUGGGCUGAAUGCGGCCUAUCGGAAAAAAGCCGAAGGAGAUUAAUGAAAGUUGGGGAAGAAAACGGAAUUAUAUUCCCGGGUAGCCCCUGCUGA
This 720-nucleotide ribosomal RNA is filed under the name uncultured archaeon. Its description in RNAcentral is "bacterial SSU rRNA". It matches the Rfam family "Archaeal small subunit ribosomal RNA", at positions 30 to 754 of the family's 1478-position model. The record is from RNAcentral.